Molecule: ribosomal RNA, 253 nt
Filed under: uncultured bacterium
Lineage: Bacteria
Description: partial 16S ribosomal RNA
Rfam family: Bacterial small subunit ribosomal RNA
Source: RNAcentral
GCCGGGGGGGGCUAUCGUUGCUCGGAAUCACUGGGCGUAAAGGGCGCGUAGGCGGCGUUUUAAGUCGGGGGUGAAAGCCUGUGGCUCAACCACAGAAUGGCCUUCGAUACUGGGACGCUUGAGUAUGGUAGAGGUUGGUGGAACUGCGAGUGUAGAGGUGAAAUUCGUAGAUAUUCGCAAGAACACCGGUGGCGAAGGCGGCCAACUGGACCAUCACUGACGCUGAGGCGCGAAAGCGUGGGGAGCAAACAGG